RNAcentral lists this ribosomal RNA (253 nucleotides) under uncultured bacterium. RNAcentral's name for it is "partial 16S ribosomal RNA". It matches the Rfam family "Bacterial small subunit ribosomal RNA", at positions 524 to 776 of the family's 1533-position model. The record is from RNAcentral.
UACGUAGGGAGCAAGCGUUGUCCGGAAUCAUUGGGCGUAAAGCGCGCGUAGGUGGCCCCAUAAGUCCGCUGUGAAAGUCAAAGGCUCAACCUUUGAAAGCCGGUGGAUACUGUGGGACUAGAGUACGGAAGAGGCGAGUGGAAUUCCUGGUGUAGCGGUGGAAUGCGCAGAUAUCAGGAGGAACACCGAUUGCGAAGGCAGCUCGCUGGGACGUAACUGACGCUGAGACGCGAAAGCGUGGGGAGCAAACAGG